RNAcentral lists this ribosomal RNA (251 nucleotides) under uncultured bacterium. RNAcentral describes it as "partial 16S ribosomal RNA". It matches the Rfam family "Bacterial small subunit ribosomal RNA", at positions 525 to 775 of the family's 1533-position model. The record is from RNAcentral.
ACGUAGGUGGCAAGCGUUGUCCGGAUUUACUGGGUGUAAAGGGCGUGUAGCCGGGUCUGCAAGUCAGAUGUGAAAUCCAUGGGCUCAACCCAUGAACUGCAUUUGAAACUGUAGAUCUUGAGUGUCGGAGGGGCAAUCGGAAUUCCUAGUGUAGCGGUGAAAUGCGUAGAUAUUAGGAGGAACACCAGUGGCGAAGGCGGAUUGCUGGACGAUAACUGACGGUGAGGCGCGAAAGUGUGGGGAGCAAACAG